RNAcentral lists this unclassified non-coding RNA (263 nucleotides) under plant metagenome. Its description in RNAcentral is "partial contains small subunit ribosomal RNA, internal transcribed spacer 1, and 5.8S ribosomal RNA". The record is from RNAcentral.
UUUCCGUAGGUGAACCUGCGGAAGGAUCAUUAUUGUAUAACCGAGGUGCGAGGGCUGUCGCUGUCCCGAAAGGUCGUGCACGCCCGAGUGCCCUCACACACAUCCAUCUCACCCCUAUGUGCACCACCGCGUGGGUCCCCCUUUGGCUUGUUCGGAGGGGGGCUUACGUUUUCACACAAACUUUGUAUGCAGUGUAGAAUGUAUUUUUUGUUUUUGCGAUCACGCAAUCAAUACAACUUUCAACAACGGAUCUCUUGGCUCCC